Molecule: ribosomal RNA, 253 nt
Filed under: uncultured bacterium
Lineage: Bacteria
Description: partial 16S ribosomal RNA
Rfam family: Bacterial small subunit ribosomal RNA
Source: RNAcentral
UACGUAGGGGGCUAGCGUUGUCCGGAAUCAUUGGGCGUAAAGAGCGUGUAGGCGGCCCGGUAAGUCCGCUGUGAAAGUCGGGGGCUCAACCCUCGAAUGCCGGUGGAUACUGUCGGGCUAGAGUGCGGAAGAGGCGAGUGGAAUUCCUGGUGUAGCGGUGAAAUGCGCAGAUAUCAGGAGGAACACCGAUUGCGAAGGCGGCUCGCUGGGACGUAACUGACGCUGAGACGCGAAAGCGUGGGGAGCAAACAGG